GUGAGGAAUAUUGGUCAAUGGACGGAAGUCUGAACCAGCCAUGCCGCGUGCAGGAAUAAGGUCCUAUGGAUUGUAAACUGCUUUUAUUCGGGAAUAAACCUCUUUACGUGUAGGGAGCUGAAGGUACCGAAGGAAUAAGCACCGGCUAACUCCGUGCCAGCAGCCGCGGUAAUACGGAGGGUGCAAGCGUUAUCCGGAAUCAUUGGGUUUAAAGGGUCCGCAGGCGGGCUAUCAAGUCAGAGGUGAAAUCCCACAGCUUAACUGUGGAACUGCCUUUGAAACUGAUGGUCUUGAAUUAAGUGGGCGUUGGCGGAAUAUGACAUGUAGCGGUGAAAUGCUUAGAUAUGUUAUAGAACACCGAUAGCGAAGGCAGCUCACAAGGCCAUUAUUGACGCUCAUGGACGAAAGCGUGGGGAGCAAACAGGAUUAGAAACCCUGGUAGUCC
RNAcentral lists this ribosomal RNA (445 nucleotides) under uncultured bacterium. RNAcentral's name for it is "partial 16S ribosomal RNA". It matches the Rfam family "Bacterial small subunit ribosomal RNA", at positions 354 to 796 of the family's 1533-position model. The record is from RNAcentral.